GAUGAACGCUAGCGGGAGGCUUAAUACAUGCAAGUCGAGCGGUAAGUUUGGGAUAGCAAUAUUCUGAACCUAGAGCGGCGCACGGGUGAGUAACGCGUACAUAACCUACCCUUAACUGGGGGAAAGUCUCGGGAAACUGAGAAUAAUACCGCAUAGUAUUACUAGUCUGCAUGGAUUGGUAAUUAAAGAUUUAUUGGUUAAGGAUGGGUGUGCGUCUGAUUAGCUAGUUGGUAGGGUAACGGCUUACCAAGGCGAUGAUCAGUAGGGGGCGUGAGAGCGUGACCCCCCACACGGGUACUGAGACACGGACCCGACUCCUACGGGAGGCAGCAGUAAGGAAUAUUGGUCAAUGGACGAAAGUCUGAACCAGCCAUCCCGCGUGCAGGAAGAAGGGGCUCUGCCUUGUAAACUGCUUUUGAAUGGGACGAAAGAGCUAUAUGCGUAUAGUGUUGACGGUACCAUUAGAAUAAGCACCGGNUAACUCCGUG
This 488-nucleotide ribosomal RNA is filed under the name uncultured bacterium. RNAcentral describes it as "bacterial SSU rRNA". It matches the Rfam family "Bacterial small subunit ribosomal RNA", at positions 28 to 507 of the family's 1533-position model. The record is from RNAcentral.